GGAAUUGAACCCGCGCAUGGUGGAUUCACAAUCCACUGCCUUGAUCCACUUGGCUACAUCCGCCGGCGAACGACG
RNAcentral lists this transfer RNA (75 nucleotides) under Zanthoxylum echinocarpum. Its description in RNAcentral is "tRNA-His". Lineage: Eukaryota; Viridiplantae; Streptophyta; Magnoliopsida; Sapindales; Rutaceae. The record is from RNAcentral.